GAAUAUUGGACAAUGGGGGGAACCCUGAUCCAGCAAUGCCGCGUGGGUGAAGAAGGCCUUUUGGUUGUAAAGCACUUUAAGCGAGGAGGGGGCUACUCUAGUUAAUACCUAGAGAUAGUGGACGUGCCUCGCAGAAUCAGCACUGGCUACCUCUGUGCCAGCAGCCGCGGUAAUACAGAGGGUGCAAGCGUUAAUCGGAUUUACUGGGCGUAAAGCGCGCGUAGGUGGCCAAUUAAGUCAAACGUGAAAUCCCCGAGCUUAACUUGGGAAUUGCAUUCGAUACUGGUUGGCUAGAGUAUGGGAGAGGAUGGUAGAAUUCCAGGUGUAGCGGUGAAAUGCGUAGAGAUCUGGAGGAAUACCGAUGGCGAAGGCAGCCAUCUGGCCUAAUACUGACACUGAGGUGCGAAAGCAUGGGGAGCAAACA
This 424-nucleotide ribosomal RNA is filed under the name uncultured bacterium. RNAcentral's name for it is "bacterial SSU rRNA". It matches the Rfam family "Bacterial small subunit ribosomal RNA", at positions 359 to 774 of the family's 1533-position model. The record is from RNAcentral.